This 252-nucleotide ribosomal RNA is filed under the name uncultured Paenibacillus sp. RNAcentral describes it as "partial 16S ribosomal RNA". It matches the Rfam family "Bacterial small subunit ribosomal RNA", at positions 524 to 776 of the family's 1533-position model. Lineage: Bacteria; Bacillati; Bacillota; Bacilli; Caryophanales; Paenibacillaceae. The record is from RNAcentral.
UACGUAGGGGGCGAGCGUUGUCCGGAAUGAUUGGGCGUAAAGCGCGCGCAGGCGGCGAGGUAAGUUGGGUGUUUAAACCUAGGGCUCAACCUUAGGUCGCAUCCAAAACUGCCUCGCUUGAGUGCAGAAGAGGAAAGUGGAAUUCCACGUGUAGCGGUGAAAUGCGUAGAGAUGUGGAGGAACACCAGUGGCGAAGGCGACUUUCUGGGCUGUAACUGACGCUGAGGCGCGAAAGCGUGGGGAGCAAACAGG